RNAcentral lists this long non-coding RNA (878 nucleotides) under Homo sapiens (human). Its description in RNAcentral is "non-protein coding lnc-C6orf229-2:1". The record is from RNAcentral. Lineage: Eukaryota; Metazoa; Chordata; Mammalia; Primates; Hominidae.
UUCAAGAACAGGUGAAACUAAUUUAUGUUGAUAGAAGUCAGAUUGUUAGUUGCCUAUUUGUGCCCUUCCCUUUCUUUCUCUUCCCUUCAUUCUUCCUUCCUUCUUUCCUUCCUUCCUUCUCUUUUCCUCUCUCACUUGUCUCUUCCUCCUCCUUUUUAUCUCUCUCCUACACACACAUAUAUAAUAUUUAUUCAUUAUAUAUUUUAUAUAUAAGGGAAGGGAAGGGUAGCUAUAGACUGGGAAGGGGCACAAGAAAACCUUAUGGAAUGCAGGCCGUCUUCCAUAUCUUGAUCUAAAUGGCAGUUACACAGGUGUGCACAUGUGCAAAACCAUCCAGCUGCUUACUUUACUACUUCACUCUAUCUUCAACCACAAUAAAAGAUAAACAACUUAUUGAGCCAGGUGUGAUGGCUCAUGCCUGCAAUUCCAUCUACUUGGGAAACUGAGGCAGGAGGACUGCUUGAGCCCAGGAGUUUGAGACCAACCUGGGCAACAAAGUGAGACCCUGUCUCUAAAAUAAAAAUAAAAAUAAAAAUUAUUGAAUGAAUGAAUGAAUGAAUGGUCAUCUAUCUAAAGCUGCUUUGUGUCUUUCCCUUCCGAAUAGUGUUUCGAACCCUGGUGUCCCAAAUUCUGGACCGGGCUGAGCCUCUGCUUUCCUCCAGCCUGUCCUCGGAAGUCGUCACUGUUUUCCAGUAUUACAGUUACUUCACCAGCCACGGCGUCAGUGACCUGGAGAGUUACCUGAGCCAGCUGGCCAGGCAAGGUGGGACAUGUUCUUUUGUCACAUUGUAGUGGUGGCUCAAUUUGGCGUUAUCUCUGCUCUUUUAAAUCAUGGCUUUUGGCAAUGAUGGCCUUUUAUUUUUCAAGUCCACAGUAGA